RNAcentral lists this transfer RNA (90 nucleotides) under Alcanivoracaceae bacterium. Its description in RNAcentral is "tRNA-Ser". It matches the Rfam family "tRNA". Rfam says of the family: Transfer RNA (tRNA) molecules are approximately 80 nucleotides in length. Lineage: Bacteria; Pseudomonadati; Pseudomonadota; Gammaproteobacteria; Oceanospirillales; Alcanivoracaceae. The record is from RNAcentral.
GGAGAGGUGCCAGAGUGGCCGAAUGGGACGGUCUCGAAAACCGUUGACGGGGCAACCCGUCCGAGGGUUCAAAUCCCUCCCUCUCCGCCA